This 463-nucleotide ribosomal RNA is filed under the name uncultured bacterium. RNAcentral describes it as "bacterial SSU rRNA". It matches the Rfam family "Bacterial small subunit ribosomal RNA", at positions 31 to 507 of the family's 1533-position model. The record is from RNAcentral.
GAACGCUGGCGGCGUGCUUAACACAUGCAAGUCGAACGGUGAAAGAGAGCUUGCUCUCUGGAUCAGUGGCGAACGGGUGAGUAACACGUGAGUAACCUGCCCCAGACUCUGGAAUAACCCCGGGAAACCGGAGCUAAUACCGGAUACGAGACGGAGAGGCAUCUCUACCGUCUGGAAAGUUUUUCGGUCUGGGAUGGACUCGCGGCCUAUCAGCUUGUUGGUGAGGUGAUGGCUCACCAAGGCGACGACGGGUAGCCGGCCUGAGAGGGCGACCGGCCACACUGGGACUGAGACACGGCCCAGACUCCUACGGGAGGCAGCAGUGGGGAAUAUUGCACAAUGGGCGAAAGCCUGAUGCAGCGACGCCGCGUGAGGGAUGACGGCCUUCGGGUUGUAAACCUCUUUCAGUAGGGAAGAAGCGAAAGUGACGGUACCUACAAAAGAAGCACCGGCUAACUACGUG